Long non-coding RNA from Spodoptera frugiperda (fall armyworm), 2732 nucleotides. RefSeq lists it as uncharacterized. The record is from RefSeq and is a predicted model, not a curated record. The transcript is spliced from 2 exons. Lineage: Eukaryota; Metazoa; Arthropoda; Insecta; Lepidoptera; Noctuidae.
AAACAAAUGCUAUAGAUUCCCUACUAAUAUUAUAAAUGCGAAAGUAACUCUGUCUGUCUGUAAUUACGCUUUCACGCCUAAACCAGUGAACCGAUUUUGAUGAAAUUUGGUACUGAGAUAGAAUAGACCUUACUUGAUACUUUUUAUUGCAAAAAAAUUGCGGAGAAUGGGUAAAAAGAGGGGAUGACUGUUCAUAUGUAAAUUCGUCAUUUUAAAAGCUGUAACAGUGAAACUUUGUAUUUAGACACUUAAAGAUAAACGAAAGAACAUGGUCUACUUUUUAUUGCAAAAAAUACGGGAGAGUGGGUAAAAAUAGGGGAUGAAUGGUCAUAUGGAAAUUCGUCAUUUUUAAAGCUGUAACAGUGAAAUUUUGUAUUUAGACACUUAAUGAGGAGCGAAAGAACAUAGGCUUUUUAAUAAAAAGAGUAAAAGGCGUAGUAUGUUUGAUAGAGGAGAUUAAUGUUUGCUUGAAAAUUCGUCAUUUUCGUUAAUGCGUUGCCUGUGGCUUCACUCGCGUUCGAUUCUUAUUUAAAUACACAUAUACUUAUUUAAAUCGCCAAUAUCCCUACUACCAUACUAAUGUUAUGAAUGCGAAAGUAAUCCUGUUUGUGUUGAGGUUACGCUUGCACGAAUGUUUUUUUUUUUGGAAUAUAACAACGAAACAAUGUAUUUUUUUAUUGAUAGGCAAUAUAUAGGAAAUUAAAGGAUAAUAAUAUAGAUAACCUUGGCUACUUUUCAUCAUGAUUAUAAAAUGAUGAAUCGGCGGUCGUGGUUUCUUUGGAAUACAUAUCUUUAAAAAUGCUAACAGUAACAUAUUCUCAAGUAAUUCACAUUUUAGAUGACAUACGGCAGCAUUUUGACCACUAACACCACUACGCGGACGAAGUCGCGGGCAAAAGCUAGAUUCGAUAAAUUUUCAUUUGUACAUGUCAAAUAUUUGUUGUUUCUAAAUUCAAAUUCUGUAAAUAAUGAUUGACAUUUAUGCAUAAACUAUGAAAAGGGUGAAUAAACAAUUGUCUGUAUUUUUUUUAAUCUAUUGAAAAUGUUGAAAAGUGCAUUAAGCAUUAAUAGAAAUUCCUCAAAUAUUAAUUAUGCGUGCGUUCAGAAAUAAUGACAAAUUAUUAACAGUUACGCGUGUGUUCAGAAAUUUAUUUUGUGUAAAUUAAAGUUUCUAUUCACGUUUUCGAACAAACGAUGCUCUUUCAAUAUAGUCUAUUGGUGUGAAUGACAUUGACAUUCGUAUUGCGCGUUUUUUAAAAUAUGCAAAAUUAAAUGUAUUAUUUUCAAUAUUUCUGAGAGAUUAUCUUAAUAUUUCUUCGAGUUUUAAAGACUAAGAAGAUUUUUAUUUGCUAAUAAGUGUUUGUUAAUCAAGUUGGAAUUUCGUUUUUAACAAUGCUACCAACCAGACGUACAAGCUUAGGCCGCAGAACUCGAAAUACGGCAAGUCAAAGAAAUAUAAGAGUAAAUCAAACUGAUGAGCAUCGCGAAGCGCGAAAUGAACUUAAACUGAAUCAAUAUCAAGAUAGAAAUGUUGUGUUUAAUCCAUCAAGAUAGAAAUGUUGUGUUUAAUCCCCACAAAGCUGCAUUCAGUUAUAAUGUGGCAAUUGAUUACAGUUCAGAGCAAAUUGUUGCUAUUGGACUAAUGAACAUUGUGUGUCCACAUUGGGAUUGAAAUUAAAAAAUUAAGCCUCUGGAUUGUGUUGAGCCAGCGGCCAAGUCAAAUUGACGCCAUUGGUACCGCCACCAGAGCCACUACAUUCAUUGGUUCAUUUUGGACUCAUAUCCAGUAGUACAAUAAUUGCUUUCAAAUGACAUCAUUUGGGGCAACAAAAGUUAUACGAGUCAAUUUUUUGCCUACUUUUAGGAAGUAAGUAUAAUGACAAACGUUUUUUUUUAGUUUUAAAACCAUGUAGCUGGUGCAAAAUAUGUCGCGUCAGUGAUGUGUUUAUUUUAUAAACAAUAAAUCAAAUUACUAAUAAUAGUCUAUAAUCCGAAGACUUAAUCAGCAACAUUUAUAACAUGUUGUAUUUUAUAGUGGCAUGAACAAGAUGUUCGUAGUAAAGCCUACUACCUAAAGCUGCCGUGGAAGGCUGUUUAAUGUCGAGGUUAAAAGUAGUUUUAAUUUGAAAUGAUGUAAAGUAUUGUGGCAGUAUUUUACGAGCCACAUGGUGGUACAAUUUACUAUACAAUUGCCUGUAUACAUAUUUAUAUUCUUGCAGAUUCAGGGAUUUAAAUAUAUCAUCAAACAGGUUCCUUAUUGCCAGUGCCUGUUGAAGACUAUACAUUUUUGCAAAUAUAUUUUAUGGUACAACUCAUAAAGAGAUCCAUUGUGAUGAACAACUUCAAACAUUUUUCCUUUAACACAAUGAAUUAGUUGCAUUAGACCGAUGCAUUAGACAUUCACAAAUGCAUUAGACCGCAUGCCAUCAGAUAAUCACAAAAUUGUCAUCAGAGCCGAUAAGGCGCCUGCAGGACAGUGAAAUGAUUGAAUCCUAUGAAAUAAACACUAUUAUGAAAAUAUAUUUUGUUUUUUUUUUUAAUUAGUAAAGUCCUUUUCAGGUAUAGUGAGAUCAGGAAAUUAUGGAUUCAUUUUUAUAUGGAGGAUAUUUAUAGAUUCCAAUUCAAAUUGAAUAGGGACUCAUACAUAACUCAGCUAUACAAAAUAAAGUAGAGCAUCAUUGCUACGCGAAAGCGGUACGAAGUUCGCUGGGUCAGCUAGUCUCACAAUAAAU